RNAcentral lists this ribosomal RNA (406 nucleotides) under uncultured bacterium. Its description in RNAcentral is "partial 16S ribosomal RNA". It matches the Rfam family "Bacterial small subunit ribosomal RNA", at positions 30 to 526 of the family's 1533-position model. The record is from RNAcentral.
AUUGAACGCUGGCGGCAGGCCUAACACAUGCAAGUCGAACGAGUGGCGGACGGGUGAGUAAUGUCUGGGAAACUGCCUGAUGGAGGGGGAUAACUACUGGAAACGGUAGCUACUAACGCAUACCAUCAGAUGGUCCCAGAUGGGCUUUGUUUGUUGGUGGGGUAACGGUUCACCAAGGCGACGAUCCCUAGCUGGUCUGAGAGGAUGACAAGCCACACUGGAACUGAGACACGGUCCAGACGCCUACGGGAUGCAGCAGGUGGGAAUAUUGCACAAUGGGCGCAAGCCUGAUUCAGCCAGGCCGCGUGUAUGAAGAAGGCCUUCGGGUUGUAAAGUACUUUCAGCGGGGAGGCGUUACCCGCAGAAGAAGCACCGGCUAACUCCGUGCCAGCAGCCGCGGUAAUAC